Molecule: ribosomal RNA, 547 nt
Filed under: uncultured bacterium
Lineage: Bacteria
Description: bacterial SSU rRNA
Rfam family: Bacterial small subunit ribosomal RNA
Source: RNAcentral
AGAGUUUGAUCCUGGCUCAGGACGAACGCUGGCGGCGUGCCUAAUACAUGCAAGUUGAACGCUUGAAUUUCACCGAAGCUUGCUUCACCGAAAUUCAAGAGUAGCGAACGGGUGAGUAACGCGUGGGUAACCUGCCUUAUAGCGGGGGAUAACUAUUGGAAACGAUAGCUAAUACCGCAUGACAAUGAUUGACACAUGUCAGUUAUUUGAAAGUAUCUUUUGGUACACUAUGAGAUGGACCCGCGUUGUAUUAGCUAGUUGGUAGUGUAAAGGACUACCAAGGCGAUGAUACAUAGCCGACCUGAGAGGGUGAUCGGCCACAUUGGGACUGAGACACGGCCCAAACUCCUACGGGAGGCAGCAGUAGGGAAUCUUCGGCAAUGGACGGAAGUCUGACCGAGCAACGCCGCGUGAGUGAAGAAGGUUUUCGGAUCGUAAAACUCUGUUGUUAGAGAAGAACGUUGAUUAGAGUGGAAAAUUAAUCAAGUGACGGUAUCUAACCAGAAAGGGACGGCUAACUACGUGCCAGCAGCCGCGGUAAUACGUA